This 490-nucleotide ribosomal RNA is filed under the name uncultured bacterium. Its description in RNAcentral is "partial 16S ribosomal RNA". It matches the Rfam family "Bacterial small subunit ribosomal RNA", at positions 30 to 507 of the family's 1533-position model. The record is from RNAcentral.
AUUGAACGCUGGCGGCAGGCCUAACACAUGCAAGUCGAAUGGUAACAGGAAACAGCUUGCUGUUUCGCUGACGAGUGGCGGACGGGUGAGUAAUGUCUGGGAAACUGCCUGAUGGAGGGGGAUAACUACUGGAAACGGUAGCUAAUACCGCAUAACGUCGCAAGACCAAAGAGGGGGACCUUCGGGCCUCUUGCCAUCAGAUGUGCCCAGAUGGGAUUAGCUAGUAGGUGGGGUAACGGCUCACCUAGGCGACGAUCCCUAGCUGGUCUGAGAGGAUGACCAGCCACACUGGAACUGAGACACGGUCCAGACUCCUACGGGAGGCAGCAGUGGGGAAUAUUGCACAAUGGGCGCAAGCCUGAUGCAGCCAUGCCGCGUGUAUGAAGAAGGCCUCCGGGUUGUAAAGUACUUUCAGCGGGGAGGAAGGGAGUAAAGUUAAUACCUUUGCUCAUUGACGUUACCCGCAGAAGAAGCACCGGCUAACUCCGUG